GACGGGGGAUGCAAGUGUUAUCCGGAAUCACUGGGCGUAAAGCGUCUGCAGGUGGUUUCCUAAGUCCACUGUUAAACCUUGAGGCUCAACCUCAAAUCUGCAUUGGAAACUAGGAGACUUGAGUAUAGUAGGGGUAGAGGGAAUUUCCAGUGGAGCGGUGAAAUGCGUAGAUAUUGGAAAGAACACCAGUGGCGAAGGCGGCUCACUGGUCCGGUACUGACGCUGAGGUGCGAAAGCGUGGGGAGCAAACAGG
Molecule: ribosomal RNA, 253 nt
Filed under: uncultured bacterium
Lineage: Bacteria
Description: partial 16S ribosomal RNA
Rfam family: Bacterial small subunit ribosomal RNA
Source: RNAcentral